Long non-coding RNA from Homo sapiens (human), 298 nucleotides. RefSeq lists it as uncharacterized. Lineage: Eukaryota; Metazoa; Chordata; Mammalia; Primates; Hominidae. The record is from RefSeq and is a predicted model, not a curated record. The transcript is spliced from 2 exons.
AACCAUAGGCCAUCCUGAGCACCUGUCCACCCAGAAUAUUACAGGACAAGAACUAAUGCAUAUGCCAAUCUGCUGUAAAAGCAUGGUCUGCUGUACCUGAGAAUGCGAGAAAAUUAAGUUCAAGAUCACCUGAUGAAGUACCUUCAUCAAUUUUCAACUUCAAGCAUUGGCAGAAUUCAUCAACUGUUAUGUGGUACGCUGUUUAUUUAAUGAAGACUUGUACAUAUCUUCCUUGUCUCUUACAAUUUAUUACAUCUUUGUGAUAUUUUCUUCUUAAUAAAAGUUGCUUAAUCAAUUA